RNAcentral lists this ribosomal RNA (520 nucleotides) under uncultured delta proteobacterium. RNAcentral's name for it is "bacterial SSU rRNA". It matches the Rfam family "Bacterial small subunit ribosomal RNA", at positions 29 to 523 of the family's 1533-position model. The record is from RNAcentral. Lineage: Bacteria; Deltaproteobacteria.
AACGAACGCUGGCGGCGUGCCUAACACAUGCAAGUCGAACGAGAAAGGGGCUUCGGCCCUGAGUAAAGUUGGCGCACGGGUGAGUUAACACGUGGGCAACCUGCCUCUAAGACUGGGAUAAACCGUCGAAAGACGAGCUAAUACCGGAUAAGACCACAGUUCCUGCGGGAAAAGGGGUCAAAGGUAGCCUCUGCUUGCAAGCUAUCACUUAGAGAUGGGCCUGCGCACCAUUAGCUAGUUGGUAGGGUAACGGCCUACCAAGGCAAAGAUGGUUAGCUGGUCUGAGAGGAUGAUCAGCCACACUGGAACUGAGACACGGUCCAGACUCCUACGGGAGGCAGCAGUGGGAAUAUUGCGCAAUGGGCGAAAGCCUGACGCAGCAACGCCGCGUGGGUGAUGAAGGCCUUCGGGUCGUAAAGCCCUGUCGGAGGGAACGAACGUUCCCGGGGUUAACAGCCUCGGGAAGUGACGGUACCCUCAAAGGAAGCACCGGCUAACUCUGUGCCAGCAGCCGCGGUAA